Drosophila mauritiana is the source of this 3329-nucleotide RNA transcript. It is a transcript of the gene named serine/threonine-protein kinase NLK, with no coding region annotated. The transcript has 8 exons. The record is from RefSeq and is a predicted model, not a curated record. Lineage: Eukaryota; Metazoa; Arthropoda; Insecta; Diptera; Drosophilidae.
AACUUGCCGCGUAGUCCAUCAAUGAGCGUUUCGAUGUCACUGGUACAGGGUGGUGCUGCCGGUGGUGCGCCACAGGGCGCCAGCGCAAUCUUGGCCGCAGCGGCUCCCUACUAUCAACCGCCGGCUGUUCCCCAGGAUGUCCAGCCGGAUCGUCCCAUCGGCUAUGGAGCAUUCGGAGUUGUGUGGGCCGUCACAGAUCCUCGCGAUGGACGACGAGUGGCCUUGAAGAAGCUGCCAAAUGUGUUCCAAUCGUUGGUCUCAUCGAAGCGCGUUUUCCGCGAGCUGAAAAUGCUGUGCUUCUUCAAGCAUGAAAAUGUUCUUUCAGCUCUGGACAUUCUACAGCCACCGCAUUUGGAUUUCUUUCAAGAAAUCUAUGUGAUAACGGAGCUGCUGCAAUCGGAUCUGCACAAGAUAAUCGUGUCGCCGCAGCACCUGUCCGCCGACCACAUCAAGGUGUUCCUGUACCAGAUCCUGCGCGGCCUCAAGUAUCUGCACUCGGCCCGCAUCCUGCAUCGCGACAUCAAGCCGGGCAAUCUGCUGGUGAACUCGAAUUGCGUGCUCAAGAUCUGUGACUUUGGAUUGGCCCGCGUCGAGGAGCCCGAUCAGGCCAAGCACAUGACCCAGGAGGUGGUCACCCAGUACUAUCGCGCACCGGAGAUUCUGAUGGGCGCUCGCCACUACUCGUCGGCGGUGGAUGUAUGGUCGGUGGGCUGCAUUUUUGGCGAGCUGCUGGGCCGUCGCAUCCUCUUCCAGGCACAGAAUCCUGUGCAGCAGCUGGAACUGAUUACCGAGCUGCUGGGCACGCCCACCAUGGAGGAUAUGCGUCACGCCUGCGAAGGCGCCCGCACCCACAUGUUGCGCCGGGCGCCCAAGCCGCCAUCCUUCUCGGUGCUCUACACACUCAGCUCGCAUGCCACGCACGAGGCGGUGCACCUGCUCUGCCAGAUGCUCGUCUUCGAUCCGGACAAGCGUAUCUCCGUGACAGAUGCCCUGGCGCAUCCGUAUCUGGAUGAGGGGCGUCUGCGCUACCACUCGUGCAUGUGCAAAUGCUGCUUCACUACCUCAGCCGGAAUGCGUCAGUAUACGGCUGAUUUUGAGCCCUCCGCCGGCCAGCCCUUCGAUGAUCUGUGGGAACGCAAGCUGACAUCCGUGCAGCAGGUCAAAGAGGAGAUGCACAAGUUCAUUGCCGAGCAGCUGCAAACGGGUCGUGUGCCGCUGUGCAUCAAUCCACAGAGUGCAGCCUUCAAGAGUUUCGCCAGCCAAUGAGAAUGAGAAAAUCUACUACUACUACCACUACCACUACUACCACUACAACUUGCACUGCUGCUCCUGCCGCUGCUCCAAUCCGCCGCCGCCUACUGCUGCGCUGUCCUCGAGAACCGAUCCAGGUCCAGAUCGAGAUACUAGGCGCGCGAUCUCCUCUCACUAGAACGACUCGAUAUAGACACGCAGAAGUCGCCAGAUACUAAACGCAAUCUGCCGAUUGAUUGACGAAUGAAAAUGAUAAUGAAAACGAAAGCGAAAUCGAAAACGAAAGCACACCCAAGAUAAAGAUACAAUAAUACAGAUACAGAAAAUGAGGCCUCGGGGCGGCAACUGUCUCUCUACUCCUUCUUAGUUCGACUGUGGCACAUCCUUCGGAGCUGCCGCCCUCGCCUCACCAAUGGGAAUGACGGCAAAAUGAGGCGAUUGCUGCCUAAAAUCGAAACAAAAGCAACACAGCCAAACGAUAGACACUUGCCGCCGAGAACAAGGAGGAGAGGAGUCGAUUCGCAGUCCAAAAAUCCCUAGAAAACCAUCCCCAUCCAACCAAACCCAGAGAUGAUAACUCAGCCAGGAACAACUAUUGAAUAUUUUUUAAGCGCCAAACGGCUUUUAAGUGGGCGUUUGUCUGUUUGAAAGUCAAAGCAUUCCACCACCGAAAUUAACUAAAACAAAACAAACAAAUAUUUAAUAAUACUAUAGACAAACAAAUAUGUAACGUAACUCAACGGAAACUAGUCUAAACAACAAAACUGUAGUUAAAGCAGCAACGGUAUCGACGCAAACCAGCAAGUUUAAGGAAAACGAAAAUAUUAAAAAAAAAAAGAAAUUAACGAGAGAGAGGGGAGCAGCAGCAGAAAACCUACGCACUAAACACAAAGCGUAUUUAACAAAUAACUAUAAUUUUUUGGCAACAAAGCAGACAUUUUGUUGUGCUUGACAUGAAUUGGAAACGAAAAUUCAAUUAAAAUAAACAACAACCGAAAAUCGUUUUAUGUUAAGCUCCUAUUAAAACUAUGUAUAUGUAAAUUAAUUAGCAACACACACAGACAUCGUAUUCAUUAUAUACAAGUAUGCUUAAAUCUUAAAUAUAUCUAUAUAUAUAUUUAAAGUAAAAUAGUAACAAAAUGCACACAAAUCCAAAAUUUGUUUGCCAAAAUUUACCUCAAGCGUUAGUCCUUUUCGUCCGCAAAAAGGAUCGAUUCACUUUCUGUUAGCUUACGACAAAAACAUUUAAUAAUGCAAUGUGUAGCUACAGUUAAAUGUGUACUAAACGCUAAAAGAAAAACAAAUUCUUUUGAAAUUAUGCAACUAUUUUUAUUUACACAAACGUUUGAAGCUUCAAUUUUGAAACUGGUUUCUAGAAAUAUACUCUAAAUGUAGCUGGCCACAAAAAAAUGGUCAGCCCUAACUCAUUAGGAAAAAGGAAAAAUAUUCGAUGAAAUAAGUUCAAAGUUUCAACUGUCGACUGAACAAAAAUACAAUAUAAAUUAAUAUAUAAAUAUAAAUUAAACAAUUUCAACAUAAUUUAGUUACGACAAUUUUCGCUUUGAUAAUAGUUUGUUAGGCUUUUUAAUCAUUAGUUUCAUAAAAGUAAACUAUACAAUAAACAAACCAACAAAUGAAAAACCAACAAGUGGACGACGCACUGCCCCCAGUGAAUGAUUCGAGCGGAACGAUCCCAACUGGAUGGAAAGAAGGGAGUGAUCCCAUUUCUCCUUGGAGUCUCAAGGCGCCGCCCGAAUCAAUUCGAUUUUAGUUAUGUUUAAUUUGCUCUUAGUUGAUUACCAUGUAAUAUAGUUUAAUUUUCGACUAACUACACCUCUGUCUCUCUCAAUGCUCAUCGCUAUAGACUAUAGCUAAGGUGCAGGACAGGAUCGGUUAUAGAGGAUCAAUUGCUAAGGCCUCGGCUGCCCAGAACAUUAAAUAUGUUUAAGACUGAGUUUUCUCAUUUGACGAUGACGAUUGAUUGAUUGAGGAUAUGCAAUAUAUAAUUCGCACUUCAUUUAUUUGAAACGACAAAAUUUUGAUGUAGAUUAAGCACUUAAACGAAAUUAAAAAAAAAA